GGGGGUUUGGCGGAAUGGUAGACGCGGCAGACUCAAAAUCUGCUUCCUAACGGAGUAUCGGUUCGAGUCCGAUAACCCCUA
Paracoccus yeei is the source of this 81-nucleotide non-coding RNA. NCBI's taxonomy places the organism in Bacteria, Pseudomonadati, Pseudomonadota, Alphaproteobacteria, Rhodobacterales, Paracoccaceae. The record is from Rfam.